This 1092-nucleotide ribosomal RNA is filed under the name Salmonella enterica. Its description in RNAcentral is "partial 23S ribosomal RNA". It matches the Rfam family "Bacterial large subunit ribosomal RNA", at positions 711 to 1783 of the family's 2925-position model. The record is from RNAcentral. Lineage: Bacteria; Pseudomonadati; Pseudomonadota; Gammaproteobacteria; Enterobacterales; Enterobacteriaceae.
AGACCCGAAACCCGGUGAUCUAGCCAUGGGCAGGUUGAAGGUUGGGUAACACUAACUGGAGGACCGAACCGACUAAUGUUGAAAAAUUAGCGGAUGACCUGUGGCUGGGGGUGAAAGGCCAAUCAAACCGGGAGAUAGCUGGUUCUCCCCGAAAGCUAUUUAGGUAGCGCCUCGUGAAUUCAUCUCCGGGGGUAGAGCACUGUUUCGGCUAGGGGGCCAUCCCGGCUUACCAACCCGAUGCAAACUGCGAAUACCGGAGAAUGUUAUCACGGGAGACACACGGCGGGUGCUAACGUCCGUCGUGAAGAGGGAAACAACCCAGACCGCCAGCUAAGGUCCCAAAGUCAUGGUUAAGUGGGAAACGAUGUGGGAAGGCCCAGACAGCCAGGAUGUUGGCUUAGAAGCAGCCAUCAUUUAAAGAAAGCGUAAUAGCUCACUGGUCGAGUCGGCCUGCGCGGAAGAUGUAACGGGGCUAAACCAUGCACCGAAGCUGCGGCAGCGACACUCAGGUGUUGUUGGGUAGGGGAGCGUUCUGUAAGCCUGCGAAGGUGGCCUGUGAGGGUUGCUGGAGGUAUCAGAAGUGCGAAUGCUGACAUAAGUAACGAUAAAGCGGGUGAAAAGCCCGCUCGCCGGAAGACCAAGGGUUCCUGUCCAACGUUAAUCGGGGCAGGGUGAGUCGACCCCUAAGGCGAGGCCGAAAGGCGUAGUCGAUGGGAAACGGGUUAAUAUUCCCGUACUUGGUGUUACUGCGAAGGGGGGACGGAGAAGGCUAUGUUGGCCGGGCGACGGUUGUCCCGGUUUAAGCGUGUAGGUGUGUGUUCCAGGUAAAUCCGGUUCACUUUAACACUGAGGCGUGACGACGAGGCACUACGGUGCUGAAGCAACAAAUGCCCUGCUUCCAGGAAAAGCCUCUAAGCAUCAGGUAACAUCAAAUCGUACCCCAAACCGACACAGGUGGUCAGGUAGAGAAUACCAAGGCGCUUGAGAGAACUCGGGUGAAGGAACUAGGCAAAAUGGUGCCGUAACUUCGGGAGAAGGCACGCUGACAUGUAGGUGAAGUGAUUUACUCAUGGAGCUGAAGUCAGUCGAAGA